This 1002-nucleotide ribosomal RNA is filed under the name Rhytidhysteron magnoliae. Its description in RNAcentral is "SSU rRNA". It matches the Rfam family "Eukaryotic small subunit ribosomal RNA", at positions 76 to 1086 of the family's 1831-position model. Lineage: Eukaryota; Fungi; Ascomycota; Dothideomycetes; Hysteriales; Hysteriaceae. The record is from RNAcentral.
AUACCGUGAAACUGCGAAUGGCUCAUUAAAUCAGUUAUCGUUUAUUUGAUAGUACCUUACUACUUGGAUAACCGUGGUAAUUCUAGAGCUAAUACAUGCUAAAAACCCCGACUUCGGGAGGGGUGUAUUUAUUAGAUAAAAAACCAACGCCCUUCGGGGCUCCUUGGUGAAUCAUAAUAACUUAACGGAUCGCAUGGCCUUGCGCCGGCGACGGUUCAUUCAAAUUUCUGCCCUAUCAACUUUCGAUUGUAGGGUAUUGGCCUACAAUGGUAUCAACGGGUAACGGGGAAUUAGGGUUCGAUUCCGGAGAGGGAGCCUGAGAAACGGCUACCACAUCCAAGGAAGGCAGCAGGCGCGCAAAUUACCCAAUCCCGACACGGGGAGGUAGUGACAAUAAAUACUGAUACAGGGCUCUUUUGGGUCUUGUAAUUGGAAUGAGUACAAUUUAAAUCCCUUAACGAGGAACAAUUGGAGGGCAAGUCUGGUGCCAGCAGCCGCGGUAAUUCCAGCUCCAAUAGCGUAUAUUAAAGUUGUUGCAGUUAAAAAGCUCGUAGUUGAACCUUGGGUCUGGCUGGCCGGUCCGCCUCACCGCGUGCACUGGUCCGGCCGGACCUUUCCUUCUGGAGAACCGCAUGCCCUUCACUGGGUGUGUCGGGGAACCAGGACUUUUACUUUGAAAAAAUUAGAGUGUUCAAAGCAGGCCUUUGCUCGAAUACAUUAGCAUGGAAUAAUAGAAUAGGACGUGCGGUCCUAUUUUGUUGGUUUCUAGGACCGCCGUAAUGAUUAAUAGGGAUAGUCGGGGGCAUCAGUAUUCAAUUGUCAGAGGUGAAAUUCUUAGAUUUAUUGAAGACUAACUACUGCGAAAGCAUUUGCCAAGGAUGUUUUCAUUAAUCAGUGAACGAAAGUUAGGGGAUCGAAGACGAUCAGAUACCGUCGUAGUCUUAACCGUAAACUAUGCCGACUAGGGAUCGGGCGAUGUUAUUCUUUUGACUCGCUCGGCAC